UACAGAGGGGGCAAGCGUUGUUCGGAAUUACUGGGCGUAAAGGGCGCGUAGGCGGCCAUCUAAGUCAGACGUGAAAUCCCCCGGCUUAACCUGGGAACUGCGUCUGAUACUGGACGGCUAGAGUAUGGGAGAGGGAUGUAGAAUUCCAGGUGUAGCGGUGAAAUGCGUAGAUAUCUGGAGGAAUACCGGUGGCGAAGGCGGCAUCCUGGACCAUUUACUGACGCUGAGGCGCGAAAGCUAGGGGAGCAAACGGG
RNAcentral lists this ribosomal RNA (254 nucleotides) under uncultured bacterium. RNAcentral describes it as "partial 16S ribosomal RNA". It matches the Rfam family "Bacterial small subunit ribosomal RNA", at positions 524 to 776 of the family's 1533-position model. The record is from RNAcentral.